Long non-coding RNA from Apodemus sylvaticus (European woodmouse), 504 nucleotides. RefSeq lists it as uncharacterized. The record is from RefSeq and is a predicted model, not a curated record. NCBI's taxonomy places the organism in Eukaryota, Metazoa, Chordata, Mammalia, Rodentia, Muridae. The transcript is spliced from 3 exons.
AGAGGCUGCGCUGACAUGAGCUCACUUUAAUAAGUUGGCAAACUGUUGACACAAAGGGGGAAGAACAGCUACCGAAUGCCACAAGUGCAUCCUCCUGCCUCAGAUCCUGGGAUCCCGAGAAGUGCGGAGGCAGCAGGGAGAGGGACUCGUUAUGAAAGGAUCCUGACCCCGCCCUGAUAGGCUGGUUGACACGGGACUUGACUCUGGGCUGCUCAUUGAAGACAUUUCGCUGGAUGACAUUUUCCCGUGACCUGCUUCUGAAUGGAGGUUCACGGCUCCCUCCGGCGGCCGAAGAGAAGAGCGCAGCCUGCGGGCUGAAACUGGACGAGGAGACGGUCUCCUCUGGACGUGAAAGGGACCAGGCUGGAAGCCCGAGGACACCCUGGGUCUCCGGAGAAGCUGGGAUAGUCGACUCCGGAAGGAGCACUGACCGACGUCGCCUGCAGUUCCCGAGCACACACCUGAGUCAGGUGCUGCGGCCCCGCCCACUCCACUUUUCCGCAG